UUCAUCAUAAAAAAUACUGAAUAUCGGGAGGUACCGUUAUAUAUAGACUAUACGAUAUCGUGAACAGAUAUAGCCCAUCAUAUCUUGAUUCGCUUCUACACUAGCGUGAUUACAACAGACGGACGGACAAACAGGGCUAAAUCGUCUUAGAAUUUGACGCUGAUCAAGAUUAUAUACACAUUGUAGAAGAUUAUAUAUAGAUUGUUGGGUUUAUAAUCAUUAUUCCGAUGAGUUACGAAAGGAACGACAAACUUAAUAUACCCUCCAUACUAUGUAUAUGGAGGAUAUGAAAAAAAAAAAACAUCAGAGAGGUCCUACGAAACUCAAGGUAAUAAAAGCUGUAACUGCGAGUUAUAUUAAGAAAUAUUUAAAAUCCAUUGAUAAGAUUCGACAUAUGCCAAUUUAUUAUUUUCCCUUUUUUCUCAACAGUGGGUACCAACUCAAAAAAAAAAAAACUAAAUAUUCUCAGUAUGACAAGUUACAUUUCAUACAAAUACAAGAAAUUGUAUUUCUUCAACAUUGCUGAAACAUAAAUGUCUCACAAUAGACGCAUAUUUCCAAUAAGGAAGAAAACUAUGAAAAAUUAAUAAAUACAACACGGCCAUGUCGUCUGUUGCCGAUAGGAAUAUGGAAAGUGCAAACAACAACACACUUCACAGCAACCACACCGAAAUUGUUUCUGUAAUAAGUGCUGCAAAAUCACAAAAAUAUCAAAUGUAAUGACAAAAUUUUUGUGCAUAGAUGUGUAUGUUUAACAUAAUGAAAACAGAAUGGCGGUAAAUAAAAAAAAUGAUGCCAACUUGACUACAAAAAUUUGGAGGUAAGGUAGGUGGCAGAAAGAAAAGGAAAGAAAAUAAAACAACACGACAAAGAAAACAGAAAUGAAACACAUACAUACGCAUUUUAAGGAACAAAAACGAAGAGGUGGAAUCCACGAAAUGCAAAAUUGACAAAACUAAAAAAUAUGUACCGUUUGAUAACAGUACUUCGCAGUUUUGUUGUUGUGAUUGAAAAGGGGACGUAGGAUAAUUAAAACUUACCACUUGACAAGGCAAUUGUGCACUCCUGAGGAUCCACGGUGUAUAAACGACCCUCAUAUCGAAUAUCGGCCUUAGAUAUUAGGCUGAUUUUUGAGCCCAGCUCCGGCAUGCCGCCACUCAUUUUGUCGUAGUGGCGAUAUACAGCUCAAAUGGAAGAAAUACAAAAGCAGCGCAGUCUUUGCACAAUGACUAUGAUUUUCUUUUAAAAUCCGGAUUUUCGACAGCAGUUCUGUAACACCUCUAGGGUCGUUAUAAAGCUGUCAAAAGUCUUCAAGACCUUUUCAGCACUUAAUGAAUAGCAAACACUUAAAUUUCUCCCCUUUUUUACAACUUUUGCUCUCUUGUUCACGGCUAAUCAGACUGCCUUUCGCGAAUAAGACGCAACGCACACUUUUGUCGGAACUUUUACAGGAAAGUCAGUGAAACCGCUCUCGAUGUUUAAGCGAUUUUAAGCACUAUUUAAUUUCGCGUUGGACGUUUUUCCCAAACGGAAAAUAAGUAUUUUUCCACAAAUUUCACUGCUCUCGACAAUAAAUUUUCAAUAGGCCUCAAUAACUUACUGCCAAA
Musca domestica (house fly) is the source of this 1607-nucleotide long non-coding RNA. RefSeq lists it as uncharacterized. The transcript is spliced from 2 exons. Lineage: Eukaryota; Metazoa; Arthropoda; Insecta; Diptera; Muscidae. The record is from RefSeq and is a predicted model, not a curated record.